UACGUAGGGGGCGAGCGUUGUCCGGAAUUAUUGGGCGUAAAGAGCGUGUAGGCGGUUCGGUAAGUCUGCCGUGAAAACCUGGGGCUCAACCCCAGGCGUGCGGUGGAUACUGCCGGGCUAGAGGGUGGUAGAGGCGAGUGGAAUUCCCGGUGUAGCGGUGAAAUGCGCAGAUAUCGGGAGGAACACCAGUAGCGAAGGCAGCUCGCUGGGACGUUACUGACACUGAGGCGCGAAAGCGUGGGGAGCGAACAGG
RNAcentral lists this ribosomal RNA (253 nucleotides) under uncultured bacterium. RNAcentral's name for it is "partial 16S ribosomal RNA". It matches the Rfam family "Bacterial small subunit ribosomal RNA", at positions 524 to 776 of the family's 1533-position model. The record is from RNAcentral.